GACGAACGCUGGCGGCGUGCUUAACACAUGCAAGUCGAACGGAAAGGCCUCUUUCGGGGGGUACUCGAGUGGCGAACGGGUGAGUAACACGUGAGUAACCUGCCCUUUACUUUUGGAUAUCUUCAGGAAACUGGGGCUAAUACCGGAGAGGAGCUCCUGCUGCAUGGUGGGGGUUGGGAAGUGUCGGCGGGUGGGGGUGGACUCUCGGGUUAUCUGCUUGUUGGUGGGGUAGUGGCUUACCAAGGCCUUGACGGGUAUCCGGGCUGGGAGGGUGACCGGGCACAUUGGGAAUGAGAUACGGGCCAGACCCCUACGGGGGGGAGCAGGGGGGAAUAUUGCACAAUGGGGCGAAGCCUGAUGCAGCAAAGGCGUGUGCGGGAUGAAGGGCCUUGGGUUGUAAACCGCUUUCGCCCAGUAAGAAGGCUUGUGUGACGGUAGUGGGUAAAGAAGCACCGGCUAACUACGUG
RNAcentral lists this ribosomal RNA (467 nucleotides) under uncultured bacterium. RNAcentral describes it as "partial 16S ribosomal RNA". It matches the Rfam family "Bacterial small subunit ribosomal RNA", at positions 28 to 507 of the family's 1533-position model. The record is from RNAcentral.